AUUCUCACACACGAAUGCAGCAUCAUUAAAACAUUCAAAUUUAAUCAUUUAAACUCAAACUGGAAUCACAGUAACAAAGUCUUAACAACACCCGCUUGUACCAUAUUUGAGCCAUAUAUAGGCUAAAUCAUAUUGUUCCAAAACUGCAUAAACUAAACAUAAACUAGUCAGUGCGGAGGGGAAGAGAACUUUCAACUUAUUUAGAAACAGCACUCGUCUCUGCAGCAAUCUUGGACAUUCCAAACAUCUGAAAAAUUGAACCCCAAGACUCAAUGUCAGCAAACCAACACUCGCUGCUUAUUUAAUAAUCAAAAGUAAUAAGAUUCCAGAUAAAAGGGCAAUUUGCAUUGGAUUUGAUCGACGGGUUACCAUACGGAUUUGACAUCCCUAGUUCUCAGAAUCUCACAAAUACCUUCAGAACCAAAAGCAUUACGAGUACAUAAUUUAAAGAAAAGUGACCAUUAUUAUUGCACAUUUGGGUGAAUUCUUAGUGGCCCUUGAAUUAAAUUUAAACACGUUUCAUGUGCUAAUUAGACCUGAAACAAAUCCAUGUUAAUCAGUAGCUGUUGGGCUGACAUGCAGCAAGACUGCGACUUUGGACGAAAUUGACGAUACCAAUGGCUCUCUUAACAGUAUAUGACAAAUAUAAGACGCCCAAUUCAUCAAAACAACUUGGACUAAACUGAGCUACAAUCAUUUACCACUAUUCAAAUUGAUAUUAGCUUUUUAUCGAAGAAACUGGACAUUGAGUAAAGUAUCCAAGAAAAGUUGCUCAGUUUUUUCUUUUCUCAAGAAAAGAAAGGCUCAAACUACUAGACAUUCCUUCGAACAAAUAACGUACGAUAGGCAAGUCCAUCACAUGGCUACCAUCGAAAAGACAAAUAUCGGGUGUUCAAUCAUACAAGUAAAAUUUAAAAUUAAGCAGCCAAAUUUGGAUGUAAAUUUGCAAACACAUACAAAAAUUUGUAGAUGAUCUAAGAGAUUGUAUAGGUGCGUCAUUUUAUAUGGCUAUCAGUAAAUAAUGGUUAUCAGUAUACAAAAGAAAAUACGUACCUAGAUGACAACCGGUCAAUAGACUGAGAUUGGAAGCUGUACCCAGAUAGAGACCCAUAUAUAGGCCUGCUUGUUUAUCAAAAGCUUUUCGUGGUAAAAAAGCUAAGCAGAAAUUUUU
Molecule: long non-coding RNA, 1171 nt
Filed under: Ricinus communis (castor bean)
Lineage: Eukaryota; Viridiplantae; Streptophyta; Magnoliopsida; Malpighiales; Euphorbiaceae
Description: long non-coding RNA (RCOM_LNC000012)
Source: RNAcentral